Non-coding RNA from Nitrospirae bacterium GWF2_44_13, 82 nucleotides. The record is from Rfam. Lineage: Bacteria; Pseudomonadati; Nitrospirota.
GGAGAGGUUCCCGAGUGGCCAAAGGGAGCAGACUGUAAAUCUGCCGGCUCUGCCUUCGGAGGUUCAAAUCCUCCCCUCUCCA